This is a long non-coding RNA of Antechinus flavipes (yellow-footed antechinus), 1549 nucleotides long. RefSeq lists it as uncharacterized. The record is from RefSeq and is a predicted model, not a curated record. Lineage: Eukaryota; Metazoa; Chordata; Mammalia; Dasyuromorphia; Dasyuridae. The transcript is spliced from 2 exons.
CUCUCUUCUCUUCUCCCUUUCUCUCUCCCUCUCCUUUUCCCUUUCCCUAUCUCUCCUCUCUCUCACUCACUCUCUCUCUCCCUCUCCUUCUCCUUUCUCUCUUCUCUUUCUCUCUCUCUCUCUCUUUCUCUCUCACACACACACACACACACACACACAACUUUUUAAAUAAGAACAACCUUUUAAAUAAGAAAACUAUAGUUUUGAAUACAUAACAAAAUUAAGAAAUAAAUCUAUCAAUGACUUUUGAUCUUGCUGAAUCUACCAACUGGUCAUUCAAGAACCACUGGAGAUGGAAGAAAGAAAACUUCAUCUGUUAAAUAUCUAUGUAUUAGGCACUAUGCUGAGAGCUUUGCAAAUAUUAUCUCAUUUAAUCUUCACAACACUCCUGGGAAAUAGGUGCUCUUCUUAGUCUCAUUUUACAGUUGAGGAAACUGAAGUAAAUGGAGGUUAACUGGCUUGUUCAGGGUUAUAUAAACAGCCAUUUUGAACUCAGAUCUUCCGGACUUCAGGCUUAUAUACUCUAUCCACUGUGCCACCUAGUGGUCUCUAAUUGCUAGGGUACCCUCAGUAUCUAAUUUAUAUAUUCUCCAGUCUUCUUGAAUCUGUUAAUCCUCCUUCCUCUAACAGACAGGAAGCAACAGUGGUCUCCUUUUUUGUUUAAACCCAGUUAGUGACAGAUAACUCAAGGAUAAACAAGAAAACCAUGUCAAAGGAGUGAUUGGGGCCAGAGUGGUCAAACGCCAUCUACAAUGAUCAGUUAAACGUGUCACUUCCUCUUGCUAAAUCUCCCUUUUCUCAUCUGCGAAAUAAGGUGGCUGGAAGUGGAAUGAGUUCAAAUUCUUCUCUCUACAAGUUCUACAACACUAUAGCCUCACAACAACAACAUCUCACCAAGGGAGAAUAAACUAUUCAACUAUUCUAGAAGAAAUCCUAUGGAGAAAGAUAGCCAUCAAGAUGGGCCAGAGGAAACAGAGGCAAACAAUGUUAAAUAAAGUAGUACAAUCCCUGCAUAGAACUAGUUUUCCUCCAAUCUUUUCUUGACCUUCUCUACAAUAAUUUGGAAGUCACGGGACAGAUCUCAAAGUCAACACUCUCUCUGCAGGAAAAAGGGUAGCAUUGACACUCCCUGUAAAUAAUGUCAAGAGGUAGUGACAAGAAAUUGAUUUUAAAAUGUUAAUAGAUAUUAAUAUUAGGGAAGGAGAGAAGAGAGAAUUCAAAAUAAAUCAACCAAUGCACAAGCCCUUUCAAAGUAGUCCUUAGUAUGUGACAGUCACUAUGCAAUGUGUGGGCUUAUAAAAAUAAAGAACAAAAUACUAUCUCCUCUCAAGGAGCUUCUAUACUAAUAGAAUCAGUGUUUAGCUGCCUCUCAAGUGACAAGUGACCAAGAAUUAACAUUGAAGAAAAAGACCAGAAAUUAUUUAUUUGCAAAACUCCUAAUGGAAGAUUCAAUGGACCAUAUGUUUUUGUUUCCCAUUUGGGGCAAAAAGUACUCACUUCUGUUGAAAACAUUUUUUAAAAAAAUAUAUGAAAUACUCUAAAAAUGUAA